Molecule: ribosomal RNA, 468 nt
Filed under: uncultured bacterium
Lineage: Bacteria
Description: partial 16S ribosomal RNA
Rfam family: Bacterial small subunit ribosomal RNA
Source: RNAcentral
GACGAACGCUGGCGGCGUGCUUAACACAUGCAAGUCGAACGGAAAGGCCCUGCUUUUGUGGGGUGCUCGAGUGGCGAACGGGUGAGUAACACGUGAGUAACCUGCCCUUGACUUUGGGAUAACUUCAGGAAACUGGGGCUAAUACCGGAUAGGAGCUCCUGCUGCAUGGUGGGGGUUGGAAAGUUUCGGCGGUUGGGGAUGGACUCGCGGCUUAUCAGCUUGUUGGUGGGGUAGUGGCUUACCAAGGCUUUGACGGGUAGCCGGCCUGAGAGGGUGACCGGCCCCAUUGGGACUGAGCUGCGGCCCAGACUCCUCCGGGAGGCAGCAGUGGGGAAUAUUGCACAAUGGGCUGAAGCCUGAUGCAGCAACGCCGCGUGCGGGAUGACGGCCUUCGGGUUGUAAACCGCUUUCGCCUGUGACGAAGCGUGAGUGACGGUAAUGGGUAAAGAAGCACCGGCUAACUACGUG